RNAcentral lists this ribosomal RNA (257 nucleotides) under uncultured bacterium. Its description in RNAcentral is "partial 16S ribosomal RNA". It matches the Rfam family "Bacterial small subunit ribosomal RNA", at positions 524 to 776 of the family's 1533-position model. The record is from RNAcentral.
UACGUAGGGUGCGAGCGUUUGUCCGGAAUUACUGGGCGUAAAGAGCUCGUAGGUGGUUUGUCGCGUUUGUUCGUGAAAACCCGGGGGCUUAACCCUCGGCGUGCGGGGCGAUACGGGCAGACUGGAGUACUGCAGGGGAGACUGGAACUCCUGGUGUAGCGGUGGAAUGCGCAGAUAUCAGGAGGAACACCGGUGGCGAAGGCGGGUCUCUGGGCAGUAACUGACGCUGAGGAGCGAAAGCGUGGGGAGCGAACAGG